This 551-nucleotide ribosomal RNA is filed under the name uncultured archaeon. RNAcentral describes it as "bacterial SSU rRNA". It matches the Rfam family "Archaeal small subunit ribosomal RNA", at positions 326 to 877 of the family's 1478-position model. The record is from RNAcentral.
CGGGGUGCACCAGGCGCGAAAACUUUACAAUGCUGGCAACAGCGAUAAGGGGACCUCGAGUGCCAGGAUACAAUCUUGGCUGUCGCGAUGCCUAAAAAGCAUUGCAUAGCAAGGGCCGGGCAAGACCGGUGCCAGCCGCCGCGGUAACACCGGCGGCUCGAGUGGUAACCGCUAUUAUUGGGUCUAAAGGGUCUGUAGCCGGCCGGAUAAGUCUUUUGGGAAAUCCAGCUGCUCAACAGUUGGGCUUUCAGAAGAUACUGUUCGGCUCGAGACCGGGAGAGGUGAGAGGUACUUCAGGGGUAGGGGUGAAAUCUUGUAAUCCUUGAAGGACCACCAGUGGCGAAGGCGUCUCGCCAGAACGGAUCUGACGGCAAGGGACGAAAGCUAGGGGCACGAACCGGAUUAGAUACCCGGGUAGUCCUAGCCGUAAACGAUACUCGCUAGGUGUCAGCCACGGUGCGACCGUGGUUGGUGCCGUAGGGAAGCCGUGAAGCGAGCCACCUGGGAAGUACGGCCGCAAGGCUGAAACUUAAAGGAAUUGGCGGGGGAGC